AGGGAAAUCCUCUAGGGAGAGUUAGGUAACUGUACCACAAACGGACACACGUGGACGAGAUGAGUAUUCUCAGGCGCUCGGGUGAUGAGUUGUUAAGGAACUAGGCAAAUUAACCCCGUAACUUCGGGAGAAGGGGUGCCCGCGCAAGUGGGCCGCAGUGAAUAGCGUCAGGCGACUGUUUAACAAAAACACAGGUCUCUGCUAAGUCGAAAACGAUGUAUAGGGGCUGACGCCUGCCCGGUGCCGGAAGGUUAAAGGGAGUGGUUAGCGCAAGCGAAGCUACGAACUGAAGCCCCGGUGAACGGCGGCCGUAACUAUAACGGUCCUAAGGUAGAAAAUUCCUUGUCGGGUAAGUUCCGACCUGCACGAAUGGCGUAACGAUCUGACGACUGUCUCAACAACUCGCCCGGCGAAUUUGUGGUUCCGGUGAAGACGCCGGAUGCCCGCCACAAGACGGAAAGACCCCGUGCACCUUUACUAUACCCUAUCAGUGAAUUAUGGGUUGAACUGCGCAGGAUAGGUGGGAGGCUUUGAGAUCGGGUUUUCGGACUCGAUGGAGCCAAUGGUGAGAUACCACCCUGUUCAAUCUGUGAUUCUAACCUACUUCCAUGAUCUGGAAGAGGGACACUGGUAGGCGGGUAGUUUGACUGGGGCGGUCGCCUCCUAAAUUGUAACGGAGGCGCUCGAAGCUGCGUUCAGGUGGUUUGGAAAUCCACCGUCGAGUGCAAAGGCAUAAACGCGGUUAACUGCGAGACCUACAAGUCAAGCAGGUGGGAAACCAGGACUUAGUGAUCCGGUGAUUCUGUAUGGAAGGGUCAUCGCUCAACGGAUAAAAGGUACGCCGGGGAUAACAGGCUGAUCGGAGUCAAGAGUUCACAUCGACGCUCCGGUUUGGCACCUCGAUGUCGGUUCAUCGCAUCCCGGGGGUGUAGAAGCUCCCAAGGGUUAGGCUGUUCGCCUAUUAAAGCGGUACGUGAACUGGGUUCAGAACGUCGCGAGACAGUUCGGUCCCUAUCUGUGGUGGGCGCAGGAAAUUUGAGGGGGCUUGGCCUUAGUACGAGAGGACCGGGCUGAACGAACCUCUUGUGAUACAGUUGUCACUCCAGUGGCACAGCUGUGUAGCGAAGUUCGGUUAGGAUAAGCGCUGAAUGCAUAUAAGUGCGAAACCUUCCCCAAGAUGAGAUUUCCCAACCGUAAGGUAAUAAGGGCCGUGGAAGACUACCACGUUGAUAGGACGGGUGUGUAAGAGUAGUAAUACUUUGAGCUAACCGUUACUAAUAGCCCGUUCGGCUUGACCAU
RNAcentral lists this ribosomal RNA (1299 nucleotides) under metagenome. RNAcentral describes it as "bacterial LSU rRNA". It matches the Rfam family "Bacterial large subunit ribosomal RNA", at positions 1610 to 2925 of the family's 2925-position model. The record is from RNAcentral.